GCGGAUGGCCGGAUGAUCGCCGCUAGGGCAGGGAAACCUGCCCUUGGGGAGGAAAGUCCGGACUCCACAAGACAACGGUGCCGGGUAACGCCCGGCCGGGGCAACCCGAGGGAAAGCGCCACAGAGAACAAACCGCCCCGGACGUGAUCCGGGGUCAGGCUGAAACGGUGGGGUAAGAGCCCACCGCGCGACCGGCAACGGAAGCGGCACGGCAAGCCCCACCGGGAGCAAUGCCAAAUAGGGACCUCACGCCCGGCAACGGGCAAGGCCGUCUUGGCCCUUGAGGUUCGGGUUGGCAGCUUGAAGCGUUCGGUGACGGACGCUCUAGAGGAAUGAUCGUCGGCGGUGGGCGCAAGCCCGCCGUUACAAAAUCCGGCUUACAGGCCAUCCGCGCGU
This 396-nucleotide RNase P RNA is filed under the name Maritimibacter sp. Its description in RNAcentral is "RNase P RNA component class A". It matches the Rfam family "Bacterial RNase P class A". From Rfam's summary of the family: Ribonuclease P (RNase P) is a ubiquitous endoribonuclease, found in archaea, bacteria and eukarya as well as chloroplasts and mitochondria. Its best characterised activity is the generation of mature 5'-ends of tRNAs by cleaving the 5'-leader elements of precursor-tRNAs. Cellular RNase Ps are ribonucleoproteins. The record is from RNAcentral. Lineage: Bacteria; Pseudomonadati; Pseudomonadota; Alphaproteobacteria; Rhodobacterales; Roseobacteraceae.